UACGGAGGGUGCGAGCGUUGUCCGGAAUCAUUGGGCGUAAAGGGCGCGUAGGUGGCCCGGCAAGCGUGCGGUGAAAGCUCGGGGCUCAACCCCGAGUCGGCCGUGCGAACUGCUGGGCUCGAGCACUGUAGAGGCAGGCGGAAUUCCGGGUGUAGCGGUGGAAUGCGUAGAGAUCCGGAAGAACACCGGUGGCGAAGGCGGCCUGCUGGGCAGUGGCUGACACUGAGGCGCGACAGCGUGGGGAGCAAACAGG
Molecule: ribosomal RNA, 253 nt
Filed under: uncultured bacterium
Lineage: Bacteria
Description: partial 16S ribosomal RNA
Rfam family: Bacterial small subunit ribosomal RNA
Source: RNAcentral